GUUAAAGCACAGGUGGGAGACGAAUCCUGGGCAGAGUUUGCCCUGGUUAGGGGCUUUGGCCUAGGUGUCCACAUCCCCCCUGCAGCCCAGACCGGUGGAUCCCCUCCUGGGUCACCUCUGGGGCUGGGAGGGGGCUUUAGAAGGCAAGAGGAGGCGAGACAGAGGGUGCAAGUGUUGGGGGCUGGGGUAAGAGGCACUGAUUGAAUAGCAAUGACUGCAUGAUUUAUGGUGUGCAUUAUGGCAGGGCUCAUUUGAAUAUAUGCUAAUCAGCCUUUUUUUCCCCUCCUCGUUUUGUUUGUGAGAUUUAGAUUUGCUAUGGCAACCCGCUGGCAUGGAAGGGGAGAGCCAGGAAAUGUCAGGGUGAGGUAGGCUCGACCGGACGGCACUGGGGGACACCGGCACACCGGGCAAGGCGGAGGUAACCGCGGCUUCCCAUCCCCCUCUCCAACCUCUUUUCCAAAGACACGCGGCCGGUUCUACCGGGGCAGGUGCGGGACUCGCAGUUAGUGGCGUUACCGGUAACAGAGGGAAGUUAGCUGGCACACGGCGGCAUCCCCCGUUACGAUGGGGAAAGGGAGGCCGACGGCUGGCCGGGCUCCGGUUCUCCGAUAGGAAGCGGGGCCGCCGCGCCGCUCGGAGCCGAGCCCAGCCGCUCUGCUUCCCGCCGAGGCGGCCGGUGGCUCCUGCAGCGAGCGCCGUGCUCGUACCGGAGCCCAACAUGGCUGCUGCAGUGAAGGUAUUUGAUUCACACGAGGGGAAGAACGGGGGCACGAGAGGCCCCGGGGCCGGUGCCAGCACCCGCAGCCACCGGGACGAGGGGCACAGGCGGGCGACGGUUCGGUAAGUGCCAGGGAGGAACAGAGCCAGGCGGCCCCCGUAGAUCUUUCUCCGCGGACACG
Molecule: RNA transcript, 899 nt
Organism: Dryobates pubescens (Downy woodpecker)
Lineage: Eukaryota; Metazoa; Chordata; Aves; Piciformes; Picidae
Gene name: fibril-forming collagen alpha chain-like
Exons: 2
Source: RefSeq, a predicted model, not a curated record